This 1130-nucleotide long non-coding RNA is filed under the name Olea europaea subsp. europaea. Lineage: Eukaryota; Viridiplantae; Streptophyta; Magnoliopsida; Lamiales; Oleaceae. The record is from RNAcentral.
UUUAGUUUUAAAAAGUGUUAUCAGAUUUCAAAAUUUCUUAAAGUUUUAAUAGAACAAGAAUUUUCAGAAAAUAUGCAUAAAUGAGAAAAGUAUACUUAUUUGCAAACCAUCCACUUACUGAAUUGCAAGCUCAUGUUUUUCCACCCUUUUUCUGAGCAGAUAGUAGUAAAGUUGAGCAGUCAUGGAGCUUGUCAAUUCACCUAAUUGAGCCACAUGUCAGUAAUUGUAUAGCCUACUUUAUCAGAUUAUCAUUUGAUAUCUUUAGUACGUUUGGGGACCUUUGGUUGUAGAGUAAAGUUAUUAUCGAUUUGCUAGUAUUCUAUUUGAAUAGUUUGGAUUUUGAAGGGCUGGUGUAACAUGUUUUAUAUUAUAUGUAGUGAUUUAAGGAAAAUUGGUAGUUGUUCAGGUGGUUUUAAUUCGUAUUUCAGGGAAAAUUCUGUUAAAAUUUUUUUUUAGUCAAGCAAAUCAAGGUUGCCUUGGUAGUGGGCCGACAUUGAAUUGGUAUUUAUCAUCGGCGCACGACACGUGUCAAGUUCACUAAGGUGAUUUGGAACGGGUUUGUGUCAAUCUCUCUAACUCACUUGACUGAGAGCUCUUUCUAAAUUCGACAAUUUAGUCAGUGUAGACCAACUGUUGUUCAUGAUGAAUAUUUAAUGUCUAGCAAUUUUACUGAGUACUCCCUUCUGGAUUCUACAACUUGAAUGGUUCAUCGAUAGUCUCAAUUGUAUUGGGUAUGUGACUUGAGACAGGGGUCUGACUGUUUCACUUUUUUGAGUCGCUUUGCUUUUCCCAAGUUGCUUUUAAUUUCUAACUUUUCUUUGAACUAACAGAGGUUUCCUUGUUUAUGGUUUCAGGUUGAUGGUUGAUAACAAGUUCAGGCAACGCAUGCUGACGAUAUUUUACAAGGGAUACCGAAAUCUAGUUCAUAGGAUGAUGUUUAAUAUAUGGAUGUAUCAGUUGGUUCUCUGGUUUAUGUUCUAAAUACUGCUUGUGCAAGGAAACUUAUCCAACUUCCUUUAUUUUGUCUUGGUGUGAAGAUUGUAUAAACUAUCACAGAUGAUAAUUUAUUUUUUCUUAUGACCUGUGUUUUUACUUCCAUAACGAAUUGAAGGAUGUUAGAAUCCGUUGGA